AAUCAGAUCUACCUGAAAAAUUAAGUGAAUUGAUUUGAUUGGAAUGCUCUUUUGCCGAUUCUUUAACAUACAGCCAUUAGGGGAAGUGGUAUGAUGUAUGUUCUCCACAGGAAAUGGAAAACGGCAGCUGAACUGUGUGUGAGCCCAGUUUGAUUCACAUAAAGGCAGGACGUUCUGUCUCCAGUUGGCUUUUGGGCACCAAUACUUUUUCUCGUCUUCAGCAAGCCACUUUACACAUCUACGUUACCUGCCUUCCUCUGAAAGGAUGAGAGUUAUGAAUCCUAAUGUUAUAAAUAUUAUUGUGGUAUCAAGCCAGAUCAGGAGAGUAUGACCCUAUUACUGUACCUGCCUUUGAAACCACCUCUUACCUGCUGUCUUUGUGGGACACUCAAUCAAUCUGCUUUAGUACUUGUGUAACAUUUUCUGAAAUUGAGUGGAAUUGUCCAGGCCACAACUAUGUAUAGUAUUCAUUUAUAAUUCAUUUAUAAUUCAUUUAUAAUACUAUAAUGUAUAGUAUUCAGAAGUCCUUUGAGCUCUUCAUCACUAAGGUGUGAUUGUUUAAGCUGUGAGAAAAUUUUUCCAAUUAAAGUUUAUACAUGUUGGAUAAACUACACUGGCAUUGUGCUUCUAUAUGCAAUUAAAGUUUGAACUGGAG
Molecule: long non-coding RNA, 655 nt
Filed under: Piliocolobus tephrosceles (Ugandan red Colobus)
Lineage: Eukaryota; Metazoa; Chordata; Mammalia; Primates; Cercopithecidae
Description: lncRNA (ENSPTEG00000026879.1)
Source: RNAcentral